This 611-nucleotide ribosomal RNA is filed under the name Desmodesmus sp. Tow8/18T-5W. RNAcentral's name for it is "eukaryotic LSU rRNA". The stretch from base 194 to 347 matches the Rfam family "5.8S ribosomal RNA". Lineage: Eukaryota; Viridiplantae; Chlorophyta; Chlorophyceae; Sphaeropleales; Scenedesmaceae. The record is from RNAcentral.
UCAUUGAAUAAUGCUAAGCCUAUUAAUGGGGUCUUCGGAUCUCAUUAGUAGGUGAACCACACGCACACAAUGUUUGGUGUCCGACGUAAAGCUUGCCUUUCGGUGGGCUUUCAAUUUUCAUACCAGUUUAACACUGUGUCAAACCAAACUCUGAAGUUGUGGCUGCUAUUAACUGGCAGUCUUAACCAAAUACAACUCUCAACAACGGAUAUCUUGGCUCUCGCAACGAUGAAGAACGCAGCGAAAUGCGAUACGUAGUGUGAAUUGCAGAAUUCCGUGAACCAUCGAAUCUUUGAACGCAUAUUGCGCUCAACCCUUCGGGGAAGAGCAUGUCUGCCUCAGCGUCGGUUUUCACCCUCAUCCCUCCUAUUUUUAAUAGGCUUGCUGGUUUGCUCAAACCAGAAUUUGGGAUGGAUCUGGCUUUCCCAAUCAUCCGUGAUUGGGUUGGCUGAAGCACAGAGGCUUAAGCUAGGACCCGAUAUGGGCUCAACUGGAUAGGUAGAGUAAUCUACACGAAGUUGUGCUUGUGGACCGUGCUAGAGCCAAGCAGGAAACUACUCAUGGGUUCGACCUGAGCUCAGGCAAGGCUACCCGCUGAACUUAAGCAUAUG